ACACCGGCAGCUCUAGUGGUAGCAAUUUUUAUUGGGCCUAAAGCGUCCGUAGCCGGUUUAAUAAGUCUCUGGUGAAAUCCUGUAGCUUAACUGUGGGAAUUGCUGGAGAUACUAUUAGACUUGAGACCGGGAGAGGUUAGAGGUACUCCCAGGGUAGAGGUGAAAUUCUGUAAUCCUGGGGGGACCGCCUGUUGCGAAGGCGUCUAACUGGAACGGUUCUGACGGUGAGGGACGAAAGUUAGGGGCGCGAACCGGAUUAGAUACCCGGGUAGUCCUAACUGUAAACGAUGCGGACUUGGUGUUGGGGUGGCUUUGAGCUGCUUCAGUGCCGAAGGGAAGCUGUUAAGUCCGCCGCCUGGGAAGUACGGUCGCAAGACUGAAACUUAAAGGAAUUGACGGGG
Molecule: ribosomal RNA, 401 nt
Filed under: uncultured bacterium
Lineage: Bacteria
Description: partial 16S ribosomal RNA
Rfam family: Archaeal small subunit ribosomal RNA
Source: RNAcentral